GGAUGCGAUCAUACCAGCACUAAAGCACCGGAUCCCAUCAGAACUCUGAAGUUAAGCGUGCUUGGGCGAGAGUAGUACUAGGAUGGGUGACCUCCUGGGAAGUCCUCGUUUUGCAUUCC
Molecule: ribosomal RNA, 119 nt
Filed under: Triticum aestivum (bread wheat)
Lineage: Eukaryota; Viridiplantae; Streptophyta; Magnoliopsida; Poales; Poaceae
Source: RNAcentral